AGAGUUUGAUCAUGGCUACAGAACGAACGCUGGCGGCAUGCCUAACACAUGCAAGUCGAACGGGCGUAGCAAUACGUCAGUGGCAGACGGGUGAGUAACGCGUGGGAACAUACCUCUUGGUUCGGAACAACACAGGGAAACUUGUGCUAAUACCGGAUAAGCCCUUACGGGGAAAGAUUUAUCGCCGAGAGAUUGGCCCGCGUCUGAUUAGCUAGUUGGUAGGGUAAUGGCCUACCAAGGCGACGAUCAGUAGCUGGUCUGAGAGGAUGAUCAGCCACAUUGGGACUGAGACACGGCCCAAACUCCUACGGGAGGCAGCAGUGGGGAAUAUUGGACAAUGGGCGCAAGCCCGAUCCAGCCAUGCCGCGUGAGUGAUGAAGGCCCUAGGGUUGUAAAGCUCUUUUGUACGGGAAGAUAAUGACGGUACCGUAAGAAUAAGCCCCGGCUAACUUCGUG
This 456-nucleotide ribosomal RNA is filed under the name uncultured bacterium. Its description in RNAcentral is "bacterial SSU rRNA". It matches the Rfam family "Bacterial small subunit ribosomal RNA", at positions 8 to 507 of the family's 1533-position model. The record is from RNAcentral.